GAUCUGGAUCUAUCACUUUCUGGAUAACCAUCCUUUAGUGAUUAAAUUUUGAUUCAGUCAUUAUUGCUUUCUUAAAAUUAUAAAAAUAAUAAAUGCUUAUCAUGGAAAAAAUUGGAAAAUAGAAAAAUAAAGAAAAAAAUUAAAAAUUUUCAGUGACACUUAUUGCUGUUAAUAUUUGCCAUCUUUCCUUCCAUUCAUUCUAUCAAUGUAACAACCAUCUCAAGAGGAUGUUACAAAGACUAAAUGAAAUUAAAUAUGGAAAUAGCUACUAUAAAAAUUAGGUUGUCAGAGAUAAAGAAUGACAAUUUCAAGAAUUCAAAUUACUACCCACUGGAGUUUUUUAAUGAAAUCAGGAGUACAGAAAAAUAUGUUAAUUACCAUCUAGUCUACAUGUCAUUUUAGAACAAAUGGUCAGAUUUAUGAAAUACUUCCAACUUCUAAGACUCAUUGUCACCUGCUUGUAAAAAUGAUGAGACUGUAAUAAGCCUCACUUUAAAGACUGCUAGCCUGAAUAAAAGGUGAUCUCUCAUUUUUCAGUGGAAAUAUCCAGACAUAGAGAAAUAGGGAGGAAGUUUCAGAACUUAAAUAUAUAAACUUACAGUGAUAUAGAUAAAAAGUCAAGUAUUCAUUUGUAUAUUUAAUAUCUUAAUUGAAUUAUACCUACAAAGUUAAAAAUGAUAUCAGUACAGCAUCACUUCAGAAAUAUUGCUUUUUCUGCCCUCACAUUUCAUUACAAAUUUUGUUCAGACUUUUCAUAUGCAUCUAAAACAUCCACUUUAGAGCAAAUUCCUGAGUUGUCUCCGGGUCCGAGUUUCUGUUUGGGCAUCCCGUUAUGAUGCUGUCACUGGAUCUUUUAUCUGAAGAGAAAAUUACUCACUUACAAAAUUUUUUAAAAAAACAUUUUUUUCAUUCACUUCACUAUUCUAUACUUGUGCGAUGUAAGCGUAAAGUGUAGCGCUUUUCGUCCCAAGUAAUAUUUGCCAAAUCCAUGUUACCAGCGCUACCUCUGAAACGAGCAUUGGGUUUAUUUCAGGUUGAUAUCUUGUCCAAGCAGUAUUGUUUGAUCAAAGCAGAGCAGUAGAAGAGCUUCCUCUACUGAGGACGUUGCCCAAGGACAUAAGGCAACCUGAGGGAUUGUGUUG
Molecule: long non-coding RNA, 1142 nt
Organism: Lynx canadensis (Canada lynx)
Lineage: Eukaryota; Metazoa; Chordata; Mammalia; Carnivora; Felidae
Exons: 2
Source: RefSeq, a predicted model, not a curated record